GUAGGGAAUCUUCCGCAAUGGAAGAAAGUCUGACGGAGCAACGCCGCGUGAGUGAUGAAGGUUUUCGGAUCGUAAAACUCUGUUGUUAGGGAAGAACAAGUACCAGAGUAACUGCUGGUACCUUGACGGUACCUAACCAGAAAGCCACGGCUAACUACGUGCCAGCAGCCGCGGUAAUACGUAGGUGGCAAGCGUUGUCCGGAAUUAUUGGGCGUAAAGCGCGCGCAGGCGGUCCUUUAAGUCUGAUGUGAAAGCCCACGGCUCAACCGUGGAGGGUCAUUGGAAACUGGGGGACUUGAGUACAGAAGAGAAGAGUGGAAUUCCACGUGUAGCGGUGAAAUGCGUAGAGAUGUGGAGGAACACCAGUGGCGAAGGCGACUCUUUGGUCUGUAACUGACGCUGAGGCGCGAAAGCGUGGGGAGCAAACAGGAUUAGAUACCCUGGUAGUCCACGCUGUAAACGAUGAGUGCUAAGUGUUAGAGGGUUUCCGCCCUUUAGUGCUGCAGCUAACGCAUUAAGCACUCCGCCUGGGGAGUACGGCCGCAAGACUGAAACUCAAAGGAAUUGACG
RNAcentral lists this ribosomal RNA (570 nucleotides) under uncultured Bacillota bacterium. RNAcentral's name for it is "SSU rRNA". It matches the Rfam family "Bacterial small subunit ribosomal RNA", at positions 354 to 915 of the family's 1533-position model. The record is from RNAcentral. Lineage: Bacteria; Bacillati; Bacillota.